GACGAACGCUGGCGGCGUGCUUAACACAUGCAAGUCGAACGGAAAGGCCCUGCUUUUGUGGGGUGCUCGAGUGGCGACCGGGUGAUUAACACGUGAGUAACCUGCCCUUGCCUUUGGGGUAACUUCAGGAAACUGGGUCUCAUACCGGAUAGGAGCUCCUGCUGCAUGGUGGGGGUUGGAAAGUUUCGGCGGUUGGGGAUGGACUCGCGGCUUAUCAGCUUGUUGGUGGGGUAGUGGCUUACCAAGGCCUUGACGGGUAGCCGGGCUGAGCGGGGGACCGGCCACAUUGGGACUGAGAUGAGGCCCAGACUCCUACGGGAGGCAGCAGUGGGGAAUAGUGCACAAGGGGCGGAAGCCUGAUGCAGCAACGCCGCGUGCGGGAUGACGGCCUUCGGGUUGUAAACCGCUUUCGCCUGUGACGAAGCGUGAGUGACGGUAAUGGGUAAAGAAGCCCCGGCUAACUACGUG
This 468-nucleotide ribosomal RNA is filed under the name uncultured bacterium. Its description in RNAcentral is "partial 16S ribosomal RNA". It matches the Rfam family "Bacterial small subunit ribosomal RNA", at positions 28 to 507 of the family's 1533-position model. The record is from RNAcentral.